RNAcentral lists this ribosomal RNA (427 nucleotides) under uncultured bacterium. RNAcentral describes it as "bacterial SSU rRNA". It matches the Rfam family "Bacterial small subunit ribosomal RNA", at positions 30 to 460 of the family's 1533-position model. The record is from RNAcentral.
AUUGAACGCUGGCGGAAUGCUUUACACAUGCAAGUCGAACGGCAGCACGGGGCAACCUGGUGGCGAGUGGCGAACGGGUGAGUAAUACAUCGGAACGUGCCCAAUCGUGGGGGAUAACGUAGCGAAAGUUACGCUAAUACCGCAUACGAUCUACGGAUGAAAGCGGGGGAUCGCAAGACCUCGCGCGAAUGGAGCGGCCGAUGUCAGAUUAGGUAGUUGGUGGGGUAAAGGCUCACCAAGCCGACGAUCUGUAGCUGGUCUGAGAGGACGACCAGCCACACUGGGACUGAGACACGGCCCAGACUCCUACGGGAGGCAGCAGUGGGGAAUUUUGGACAAUGGGCGCAAGCCUGAUCCAGCCAUUCCGCGUGCAGGAUGAAGGCCUUCGGUUGUAAACUGCUUUGUUACGGAACGUAAACGGUUACCG